Molecule: ribosomal RNA, 492 nt
Filed under: uncultured bacterium
Lineage: Bacteria
Description: partial 16S ribosomal RNA
Rfam family: Bacterial small subunit ribosomal RNA
Source: RNAcentral
AGUGAACGCUGGCGGUAGGCCUAACACAUGCAAGUCGAACGGCAGCACAGUAAGAGCUUGCUCUUACGGGUGGCGAGUGGCGGACGGGUGAGGAAUACAUCGGAAUCUACUUUUUCGUGGGGGAUCACGUAGGGAAACUUACGCUAAUACCGCAUACGACCUACGGGUGAAAGCAGGGGAUCUUCGGACCUUGCGCGAUUGAAUGAGCCGAUGUCGGAUUAGCUAGUUGGGGGGGUAAAGGCCCACCAAGGCGACGAUCCGUAGCUGGUCUGAGAGGAUGAUCAGCCACACUGGAACUGAGACACGGUCCAGACGCCUACGGGAGGCAGCAGUGGGGAAUAUUGGACAAUGGGCGGAAGCCUUACCCAGCCAUCCCGCGUGUGUGAAGAAGGCCUUCGGGUUGUAAAGCCCUUUUGUGGGGAAAGAAAAGCAGCAGGUUAAUACCCCGCUGUUCUGACGGUACCCAAUGAAUAAGCACCGGCUAACUUCGUG